Molecule: long non-coding RNA, 1583 nt
Organism: Cataglyphis hispanica
Lineage: Eukaryota; Metazoa; Arthropoda; Insecta; Hymenoptera; Formicidae
Exons: 4
Source: RefSeq, a predicted model, not a curated record
AAGCGGGGAGCACACACUUUUGCAUAAGCGCAUAACAAUAAGCAUAAGGAAAUUGAUUGGUUCAUUUCCUUAUGCAUAUAUUUGUGGACCAAUCAAUUUCUUUAUGUUUAUGGUUAUGCGCUUAUGCAAAAGUGUGUGCUCCCCGCUUUAUAGUCGAAUAGCCAAAAUAGCCAAAAUCUUAGUUUUAAGGUUAUUCAAUAUUCUUUUUUACUGUUUCAAACACAUUGCACGCGAAAAUAUUUUAAUAAUAAAAAUUUAAAAAUAUGAUGAUACGAAAUACAGCAUGUUAUGACCAAAUAUAUUUUAUUUACUGUUAAUAUAUAAUUUACAGUACAUCUUUUAUAAUAAAAAUGGAAAAUGAUGAUGAAUUUUUAAUUUUUAUUAUGUAUUGGAUAAACUUAUGUUUUUUGCUAAUACGUAAAAAAAAACAAAAGAGGUGGUUAAAUAGGCAAUGGCUUGUGAGCCUAUUAACCAAAAGAGAAUUCAAGCUGGAGAUUAUAAUUUUUAUUUCAAAAAAUAAAAAAUGAUUCUGAUUUAUUUUAUCGUUAUAUCCGAAUAACGUUGGUACAUUUUCAACAAUUAAAAAUGACAAAACCAUAUUUGACAAAAAAAAGUCCUUGUGCUUUAAUCCCAGAAUUACGACUUUUAAUAACUUUAAGAUAUCUUGCUACAGGUUAGGUUAGGUUAGCAUUUAGCAUUUACCAUAGCUUUGGCAUUCAGAAUUGACGAAUCUACAGUAAGAGAAGCAGUAAAAGAAGUCUAUCUGAUUUUAAUUAAAGUAUUAGAGCCAUUAUAUCUUUCUUCACCUAUAAAAGAGGAUUGGAGGAAAUGUGCACAUGGAUUUUGGACAAGAUGGAACAUUCCUAAUUGUGUAGGUUCUGUUGAUAGCAAACAUAUCCGAUUAUGCUGUCCUCCAAACUCUGGAAGUUUAUAUUUUAACUAUAAAAAAUUUUAUAGUAUAGUAUUAUUGGCAAUAACUGAUCAUCUACACAGAUUUACAUUGGUUGACAUUGGAGUAUCUGGAGGAAACAGUGAUAGGGGAAUUUUCAAUGAAUGUGAAAUUAAUUUAAAUAAUAAUGGGUUAAAUUUAAUAGAAAAUUCUCCAUGGUAGCAAUUUAAAAAUCUACACUUAUUUUGUGGCUGACGAUGCUUUCAAAUUAUCGAAGAAUUAUGAAGCCUUAUUCCAGGAAAUACUUGACAUAUAAAUAGAAAAUUUUCAAUUAUCGAAUUAGCAGAGAACAGUCGAAAGUGCUUUUGGGAUUUUUUUCCUAAAAAUGUAGAAUAUUUCAAACAGCAAUCAGUAUGUUACCAGAAACCACUGAUUUAAUUGUAACAGCUUCGGUGUGUCUACACAAUUAUGUAUUGAAAGAGGAGCAACAUAGUGGAUAUAAAAUGUACAGCUACAAUCAAUUUCUAAUAAUAAUGCUGAUCAGAAUUCAUCUUGGAUCAGUAUACCGAAUGUUAUUGAAGAAGAUAAUGACGUAAGAUAUGUUGAAACUCAAAGAAAUAUUUUGAGUGAUUAUUUUGUUUCUGGAGUUGGAGAAGUGGAAUGGCAGCAUAAGUAUGUUCAAAGAGGUGUAUAU